RNAcentral lists this ribosomal RNA (315 nucleotides) under uncultured eukaryote. RNAcentral describes it as "partial 18S ribosomal RNA". It matches the Rfam family "Eukaryotic small subunit ribosomal RNA", at positions 1470 to 1796 of the family's 1831-position model. The record is from RNAcentral.
CCCUUAGACGUUCUGGGCCGCACGCGCGCUACACUGACCAGUGCAACAAGCAUCCGUCCUUGGCCGACAGGCUCGGGCAAUCUUUGAACGCUGGUCGUGAUGGGGAUAGACUUUUGCAAUUUUUGGUCUUCAACGAGGAAUUCCUAGUAAACGCAAGUCAUCAACUUGCAUUGAUUACGUCCCUGCCCUUUGUACACACCGCCCGUCGCACCUACCGAUUGAAUGGUCCGGUGAAGCCUCCGGAUUGGCGCGCACCUCGGUACCGCCGAGAAGUUGGCUAAACCUUACCAUUUAGAGGAAGGUGAAGUCGUANCA